Molecule: long non-coding RNA, 251 nt
Organism: Strigops habroptila (Kakapo)
Lineage: Eukaryota; Metazoa; Chordata; Aves; Psittaciformes; Psittacidae
Exons: 3
Source: RefSeq, a predicted model, not a curated record
GCCAGUUGCUGUUUCACCAUCACACACUGAGGGGCUUGCACCCGACUGAAACAGACCUAUGCAGCCCUGUCUCCCAAGAAGAACUCUCAGUCCCGCUCCUGGGACAGCUUCUGGGUCGUCUCAUCCUUUUCCGAUUUGCCAAGGAUGAGACAAGCUCUCCAGCUUGGAGUGCUCUUUGGUGCCUCUAUAAUUACCUGCAGCAUCAAGAAAGCAGGCCAAAGCCAAAGGGGGAAGGAGAAGAGCUCAAAUGG